UCACCAUGACUUGCCUACUGUACCUCAUGCACUUUCAGCAGUAUAUGGGGAAAGAGAUCAGCAGAGUUGCGUAAGAGAAGCUCUUCGCUAUGGUAAUGUCAAGCAGCUGCAGUAAUAAAUUCCGGAUUGUUUGGCAAAAUCCUUUCAUUCAUCUAAGAGAUACCUGAAGUUAACCAAAUUUGUUCCUUUUCUCAGAUUAAUAUCACCUGAAGUACUUUAACAACAGGAACAACAACAGAGCACCUGCAAGGACAACACAGAAUUAAAGUGACAAGAAUAUUAGCUUAAGAGGCAUUCUUCAUUUGAUUCAGGAUCAGCAUAUUCCAAAAUGAACUGAGGUAAGGAUGUCUCUUCAACCAAAAAUAAUUCAGAUUAUCAGUUAGGGAAUACUAGAUUCCCCUUCCAGCUCCCAAAUGUCCCACACAUUCACUGCAAGUAUUUCCAUCAAAAGUUUGUAGUCUUCUUAAAUAACUAGAGUUGGAUUUUUUUAGUACAUAGUACUUUUUUAAUGAAGUAACAACAUUUUAAAAUUCAGAAACAAGCUCUCUUUAUUGUAUUUAACACCACAUCCAUCCUUACUGAAAAUGCAAGUACACUCCAAUCAACUGUUUCAGCAUUA
Molecule: long non-coding RNA, 619 nt
Filed under: Anas platyrhynchos platyrhynchos (common mallard)
Lineage: Eukaryota; Metazoa; Chordata; Aves; Anseriformes; Anatidae
Description: lncRNA (ENSAPLG00000022126.1)
Source: RNAcentral